RNAcentral lists this ribosomal RNA (2718 nucleotides) under Triticum aestivum (bread wheat). RNAcentral describes it as "partial small subunit ribosomal RNA". The record is from RNAcentral. Lineage: Eukaryota; Viridiplantae; Streptophyta; Magnoliopsida; Poales; Poaceae.
AUGAAUGCGGCGCCUCUUCAUGAAGCGACAGUUAGAGAGGUCGCGUGUGAGAGGUUUUCUGGGUGGAACCACAUUGUCACACGACGUGGCGGAGGUCUGGACACCCGCAAAUUUCCUCCAAGUGUGGUGCUAGUUUGCAAAAAUUCGAACACGCGGACGCAUCCGCGGAUAGAAGGCUGGGUUGUACGAGCCCCUUGGGAGCCCUUAUUCCACAUUGAACGUGGAAUUGGUGCUAUAACGCUCAAAUGGAGGCUCAUGAAUCGGUGCUUACUGAUCAACUCGGUUCCAUGCUCCAUUCGCUCCACUGCUAGCUCAGGAAUAGCCGGCCAUCAUAGUUUUCAUUUGAAGAGAUAUCCAUGGAUUCCAAACAUUGUUAACAAAUUUGAAAAAGUUUGUCCGUUGAAACAGUUUAGAUGGAUCUUCGGCGUAGAUUUCUCAGCUCCUUGGGUUGGGAGGAGGUUUGUCUUGCUCUUGGCUUGGGUCAUCUCUCUCCGUCCUUCGCUUGUGCACCUGACUGACCCCUAUGCAUCAUCAGAUGGACGGGACGCGACGCUCAAAUCUUUUCCCCUCGCCGGCUCCUCUUUUUCCUGCCCCCCUUCUGCACCCACCCCCUCCUGUCCUGACACCUCUGCAGCGCUGAUGAGAGUUGCAAUAUUGUUUACACCUCCACUCUGGAUGGUUGGAUGGAUCUCUGGAUCUCUCAUCACCCCCACCCCCACAGAGCCGCAGCCCUUCUAUAAAUCCUGCACCUUCCCUGCCUCCAUCGAUCUCAUCCCUUCUACCUUCUUCCCCUCUCUCCACAAGAGUCUUUCUUGCCACCAGCCAAAUCGCCACAUCGACCAAGGCAACCUCAACCCGAACACACCUUGUAGCGGCCAGAUAGCUUCUUUUCCACAUCGAUCUGUUCUUGGCUUCUUCCUUCUACGCAUCUCUGUCCCUCUCGGCGCAUCGAGUGUUGUUUGCCAUGUGUCUAGGAUUUUCUUCAUCCUUGUCAUGCUGCGGCAGCCUCACUUCUUCCCGCCGUUGGGCACAGCUGCUUCUGAUCUGGUGACCGCUGCUGCAAUCUGCGCUGGGUUUCUUGCAAAGUUGCAUAGGGACAUUAAUUCCCACCUGCUUGUUAGUGUAAUCACCAAUCCUCACCACCUAUUUGCUCAUGGCAUCAGUGUCUGUCUUGGAGAUGAAGAGGCCCUUUCUGCUGCCAUUUGGUCUCCUGUAGUUCCUUUGCACGGUCCCUGUUUAUAUCACAAUAGCACUUGUGCAAAUUUUGUUGUUUGGGCAUUUCGUUUGGACCACUCUGGCGGCGCCCAAACCCUAACCGCCGGGGGCGUGCACUCCCGCCUCCCAUCCCUCCAUCACCGCCGGGUGCCGACGGCGGUGGCGGGGGACUCCCUCUCUCCCGCGUCUCAGGGGUGGUGCGGGGCCCCUACACGUGUGGAGGCGUGUCCGAUCCAGCGGAGCAAUGGCGAUGGUUGCGACGACGACGACGGUGGUUGGCCCUGCCUCAGGCAACGGCGGCUGCAGGCGCGUCGGGCAACCCGGUCACGGCCGGCGGCGUGUAGUGCCUUGACCGGUUCAGGCGGCGGCUGGCCCGGUUCGGGCGACGGCACGAUGCGGUCGGCAGCGGAUAAGCCCCUGCCUAUAUUAACACGAAGGCGCGCCCCCAACAGGGUACGUCGCUUCACGCAUAUCGCACCUGGUAUACACAGCCCAAUCUCUUCCAUCACAUCUAGUUCACUAGGUUUCCUACCACCAAACCUCGCCACCAUGGCCUCCUAUGCCGCCGCCAACUCCAACCUCUCGGGCCAAAUCAGAGGAGCGGGCUUCUUCGGAUACGUGGACGAAACCACACCGGAGCCGGCCAAGCAAGUCGUCACCAAGGACAAGGAUGGGAAAGAAGAGAUGAUUCCCAAUCCUCUCCACUCGGUUUGGAUCCGAGAAGAUCAACAGGUAUUGGGCUAUCUGUUGAACAAUCUGACCAAAAAAGUGCUAGUGCAGGUCACCUCCAUUGAUCAUGCACAUGAGCUCUGGGCGGCACUAGCAGGGAUGUUUUCCUCGCAGUCGCUGACCAGGGUGAACAACAUCUGCAUCGCGCUCUCACAUGCACAGAAGGGAACGCAGUCUGUGGCGACGUACUUCGCAUACAUGCGAUCGCUUGCGGAUGAACUUGCUGUUGCGGGCAAGCCUCUCCAAGACGGCGAGCUGGUCUCCUACAUCCUCACCGGCCUCGACAUGGAGUACCAGCCCCUCGUCUCCGCCCUCGACGCACGCACACAGCCGAUCACCCUCGACGAGCUCUUCUCCCAGAUGAGCAACUUCGAUCAGCGUGUUGCGCUCCUCCAGGGGAACGACGGUUCAAGUCGUCGGCCAACGCCGCUACUCGCGGCCGUGGUGGUGGCGGGGGCGGAUCACGCUACCACGGGCCACCGUAGAAAGGCAAGACGAGCAGCAGCGGCAACGGCAACAACAACGGCAACGGGCGGCCCUCCUACACCAACUCCAAGGGCCGUCGCAACUCCCCCAAGUCACGCCCUGACACCAUCCGGUGCAAGAUCUGCAGAAAACCGGGGCACUCCGCAAAGGAUUGCUGGUACCGCUUCGAAGAGGAUGAAGACUCCUCCCAAGAUAAGAAAGUUGCUGGCGGGGCGGAGGCCUCGUACGGAGUCGACACCAACUGGUAUGUUGACAGUGGUGCUACCAAUCACAUCACCGGCGAGUUAG